CUGCUGACGAGUCCAAAACAGGACGAAACAGUUGUACAG
Molecule: non-coding RNA, 39 nt
Filed under: Echinostoma caproni
Lineage: Eukaryota; Metazoa; Platyhelminthes; Trematoda; Plagiorchiida; Echinostomatidae
Source: RNAcentral